This is a long non-coding RNA of Cyprinus carpio carpio, 422 nucleotides long. Lineage: Eukaryota; Metazoa; Chordata; Actinopteri; Cypriniformes; Cyprinidae. The record is from Ensembl.
GUUGUUGCUAGGUAUUCUGGCUGUUCUCAGUGGUUGACAUGGUGUUGCUAGGUAGUUGCUAUUGCAUUCUGGGUGGUUGCUAGGUAUUCUGGCUGUUCUCAGUGGUUGAUAUGGCAUUGCUAGGGCAUUCUGGGUUGUUGCUAGGUAUUCUGGCUGUUCUCAGUGGUUGACAUGGUGUUGCUAGGUAGUUGCUAUUGCAUUCUGGGUUGUUGCUAGGUAUUCUGGGUGUUCUCAGUGGUUGACAUGGUGUUGCUAGGUGGUUGCUAUUGCAUUCUGGGUUGUUGCUAGGUAUUCUGGCUGUUCUCAGUGGUUGAUAUGGCAUUGCUAGGGCAUUCUGGGUUGUUGCUAGGUAUUCUGGCUGUUCUCAGUGGUUGAUAUGGCGUUGCAAGGUGGUUGCUAAGGCAUCCUAGGUGGUUACUAGG